RNAcentral lists this ribosomal RNA (442 nucleotides) under uncultured bacterium. RNAcentral's name for it is "partial 16S ribosomal RNA". It matches the Rfam family "Bacterial small subunit ribosomal RNA", at positions 338 to 795 of the family's 1533-position model. The record is from RNAcentral.
CCUACGGGUGGCAGCAGUGGGGGAUAUUGCACAAUGGGGGAAACCCUGAUGCAGCGACGCCGCGUGGGCGAAGAAGUAUUUCGGUAUGUAAAGCCCUAUCAGCAGGGAAGAAGAAAUGACGGUACCUGAGUAAGAAGCACCGGCUAAAUACGUGCCAGCAGCCGCGGUAAUACGUAUGGUGCAAGCGUUAUCCGGAUUUACUGGGUGUAAAGGGAGCGCAGGCGGCACGGCAAGCCUGAUGUGAAAGUCCGCGGCCCAACCGCGGGACUGCAUUGGGAACUACCGGGCUGGAGUGCCGGAGAGGUAGGCGGAAUUCCUAGUGUAGCGGUGAAAUGCGUAGAUAUUAGGAAGAACACCAGUGGCGAAGGCGGCCUGCUGGACGACAACUGACGGUGAGGCGCGAAAGCGUGGGGAGCAAACAGGAUUAGAUACCCUAGUAGUC